This 471-nucleotide ribosomal RNA is filed under the name Triticum aestivum (bread wheat). RNAcentral describes it as "partial small subunit ribosomal RNA". The record is from RNAcentral. Lineage: Eukaryota; Viridiplantae; Streptophyta; Magnoliopsida; Poales; Poaceae.
GGCGGCAAGUGCAAGAUUAAUUGGGAGCAUGUCUGCAAGCCAAAGGAAUAUGGGGGCCUUGGCAUUUUGCACCUUCGCAAGUUUGCUACCGCCCUCCGGCUGAGGUGGCUAUGGCUUGAGUGGAAUGACCCACCUCGUGUGUGGUGAGGAUUGGGGAUGCCCUGCACGACAUCUGACCGUGACCUUUUCGCGGUCUUGACUGAGGUCAAGGUCGGCGAUGGACAAAAGGCUUCCUUUUGGGAAUCUUCUUGGCUUCAGGGCGUUAGGCCCAAAGAUAUUGCGCCAAAGAUUUUCGAUAUUUCACGCAAGAAAGGUGUUACGGUCUCCACGGCCUUAAGGGAUAGGAACUGGAUAGCACAAAUCAACAUUGACGCUGGCCUCACUCUAGAACACCUUCAACAAUUCUUGGCCCUUUGGGAGAAGCUAGCGACUGUGGCCAUUCAGCCGGGUGUCCAGGACUCUAUACUGUGA